Molecule: ribosomal RNA, 492 nt
Filed under: uncultured bacterium
Lineage: Bacteria
Description: partial 16S ribosomal RNA
Rfam family: Bacterial small subunit ribosomal RNA
Source: RNAcentral
AGUGAACGCUGGCGGUAGGCCUAACACAUGCAAGUCGAACGGCAGCACAGUAAGAGCUUGCUCUUACGGGUGGCGAGUGGCGGACGGGUGAGGAAUACAUCGGAAUCUACUUUUUCGUGGGGGAUAACGUAGGGAAACUUACACUACUACCGCAUACGACCUACGGGUGAAAGCAGGGGAUCUUCGGACCUUGCGCGAUUGAAUGAGACGAUGUCGGAUUAGCUAGUUGGCGGGGUAAAGGCCCACCAAGGCGACGAUCCGUAGCUGGUCUGAGUGGAUGAUCAGCCACACUGGAACUGAGACACGGUCCAGACUCCUACGGGAGGCAGCAGUGGGGAAUAUUGGACAAUGGGCGCAAGCCUGAUCCAGCCAUACCGCGUGGGUGAAGAAGGCCUUCGGGUUGUAAAGCCCUUUUGUUGGGAAAGAAAAGCAGCAGGUUAAUACCCCGCUGUUCUGACGGUACCCAAAGAAUAAGCACCGGCUAACUUCGUG